GGGAGAAAGAAUCAACGGGCUCCGCACUGUCAGCAUGGAGCCUGAGGCAGGGCUCAAACUCACGAACCUGAGCCGAUAUCAAGAGUCCGACCCUUAACCAAUGAAGCCACCCAGGCACCGUUGGUCCACAGCAGUGUCACUUUUAACUGAACUUGAAUUCAACUAAGAAGCCAAAGAGUCGCUCAGUUAAAUGUGUCUUCACAGCAAGGAUAUCUGAAUAACGCAAAAUGUUUUGAGUCAACGUUUCCUGCAUUUGACUGGAUAUAUCUUCUUGGGGUGCAGCAUUUUUGAACCCUAGGAAUCUGCUUGUGCCGUAGGUUUCUUCAGUCUCUGUGAAGAAUAUGAUGGAUGUAGAGAGGUGUUUCUACCUUGAAGGAUUUUCUUCUUUUUUUCCAAAGCUACCCACCUCACCUGUCCACUAUCUCAGAACCGGCUAACAACAGCAAGAAUUCAUAGCAUCUUGUCAGCUCACCUUCAGUACCUUUUCUCAGGCUAUGGAUGAGCUUUCAGCAGAGGCCUGGGUGCUAGGCUGGAUGUCCCAGAGAGGCUGGAAGCUGACUGAGGUUCAUGCGUUCUGAAAGGGCCUCCAUCUGACCUGCAAGCCCAGGGGAGGUCUAGCGAUGGCCAGGCGAUGAUUGUAGCCAUCUACCUCUAUCUAGAAAGUACUGGGGUCUGUCCUCACCCUUGCUACUACUGCCAAAAACAAACAAAAACCAACCACCUCUGUUUUAUGUGCUUGUGGAUAAAAAAAUAAACAUCCUCACUAAGCUGGAUACCCAUUGGACCACUGAAAAAGACCCGUAACAAAUGGUGCAGACCCCCAACAGGACUGAUGAUUUUUAAUGGAUCAAAUUCUUUCUUAGCUGUUGGAUCGGACACAGCUUUCUCACUAAAGUGCUAUCAGCCACAUUUUGCACAAUCGGAGGCUGCUGGUUCCCAAAGCCUGAAAAUCAUUGCCAAGGGGCUGUCGGGUAGAGGAGCAGGAAGGGGACGGAAGGAGGUUGUUUUGCAUUAAAAUAAAUAAGAGCCCUGAAUGUUAUAUGUAAGUGAUGAAUCAUUGAAUUCUAUUCCUGAAAUUAUUAUUAUACUCUA
This 1092-nucleotide long non-coding RNA is filed under the name Suricata suricatta (meerkat). Its description in RNAcentral is "lncRNA (ENSSSUG00005000934.1)". The record is from RNAcentral. Lineage: Eukaryota; Metazoa; Chordata; Mammalia; Carnivora; Herpestidae.